GACGUAGGGUGCAAGCGUUGUUCGGAAUCACUGGGCGUAAAGAGAGCGUAGGCGGGAUUGUAAGUUAGGAGUUUAAUACAAGGGCUUAACCCUUGGCUGGCUUUUAAUACUGCAGUUCUUGAAUGUGGGAGAGGGCGAUGGAAUUCCAGGUGUAGCGGUGGAAUGCGUAGAUAUCUGGAAGAACACCAGUAGCGAAGGCGGUCGCCUGGCCUAACAUUGACGCUGAGGCUCGAAAGCUAGGGGAGCAAACAGG
Molecule: ribosomal RNA, 253 nt
Filed under: uncultured bacterium
Lineage: Bacteria
Description: partial 16S ribosomal RNA
Rfam family: Bacterial small subunit ribosomal RNA
Source: RNAcentral